Molecule: ribosomal RNA, 253 nt
Filed under: uncultured bacterium
Lineage: Bacteria
Description: partial 16S ribosomal RNA
Rfam family: Bacterial small subunit ribosomal RNA
Source: RNAcentral
UACGUAGGGGGCAAGCGUUGUCCGGAAUCAUUGGGCGUAAAGAGCGCGUAGGCGGCCCAGUCAGUCCGCUCUGAAAGUCGGGGGCUCAACCCUCGAAUGCCGGUGGAUACUGUCGGGCUAGAGUGCGGAAGAGGCGAGUGGAAUUCCUGGUGUAGCGGUGAAAUGCGCAGAUAUCAGGAGGAACACCAAUUGCGAAGGCAGCUCGCUGGGACGUGACUGACGCUGAGACGCGAAAGCGUGGGGAGCAAACAGG